CAGCUGAAAAUAUCAAGUGCUACCUGUUGGGGUGGCCAAAGGUUACUAAAUGCAACAACAGGAAAGCAGGAAUGUGUGCAGUGCAAGACCACAUCUCCCACGCUUGUAGUUUUAUUUUUCCCUAAAAAAUGGAAAAUAAAAUAUCUUAAAACAAAACCCUUUGAACUAAGAUAAUAUCUCCAGCUGGAAGAAAAACAAAAAGAAAAUAUCUUCAAAGCACUGUAACUGUUCUGCACUCUGUGGCUACUACCGUCACCCAAUAAAUCAUCUCUCUUUGGAAAGAAAUCACACUUUAAUUUCUGCACAAUUUAUGUAGAAACAGAUACACUUUUUAAUCUAUUUCUAAUCUAACAUUUUCCCCAAAUUAGAAACCACGGAUGAGAGAGGGUUGGAUAGCUCUUGCUUUGAGUUAAGAGAGAAAGAGUUGGGGGUUCUGGGUUCGAACGUGGACAGAGAAAUAGAUCUAAAUUUAACAACUAAUUACUAACCUUUGUCAUUCGUAAAAAGAAAAAAGAAAAAAAGAAAAAAAAACCAACAUGAAGAACUUAGAUGCACAGAGAUCUGUUAGAGUUCACACUCAAAGCAGAAACCCUAACUAACCAGCAAUUCACUGAAAGAGAUGGCAGUGGAAGAUAUACCUGAUGCCGCUACGGUUGUGGCGGAGGACUCUGUUCUAUGACGGUGAGAGUGAGAUUGUGAAUCUGUGAUGGUGGUGUUGUUGACGGAUCAAUUAGUUUUAGUUCAGAAACAAUCUCC
This 756-nucleotide long non-coding RNA is filed under the name Medicago truncatula (barrel medic). RNAcentral's name for it is "long non-coding RNA (MTRU_LNC005390)". Lineage: Eukaryota; Viridiplantae; Streptophyta; Magnoliopsida; Fabales; Fabaceae. The record is from RNAcentral.